This 250-nucleotide unclassified non-coding RNA is filed under the name fungal sp. Its description in RNAcentral is "partial internal transcribed spacer region". The stretch from base 1 to 46 matches the Rfam family "Eukaryotic small subunit ribosomal RNA", at positions 1786 to 1831 of the family's 1831-position model. The record is from RNAcentral. Lineage: Eukaryota; Fungi.
AAGUCGUAACAAGGUAUCUGUAGGUGAACCUGCAGAUGGAUCAUUCUUGUAACUGUUUGUAGGGCUUCGGCUCUACUUACUAAACAACCACUGUAACACUAAACUUUAAAAGUGACCUAGUUGCGUUGGUACUCUUUAGGGGGUACCAACCAGAUGCAGGCACUUGGGGCUUUUUAACCUAACAAAUUCAUUAAUGCCUAAAAACAAAAAUAAUUUAAUACAACCUUUAACAAUGGAUCUCUUGGCUCCU